Molecule: long non-coding RNA, 1072 nt
Filed under: Marmota monax (woodchuck)
Lineage: Eukaryota; Metazoa; Chordata; Mammalia; Rodentia; Sciuridae
Source: RNAcentral
GUUCAGUGCUGCAGAGAAGGAUGAUGUGUCUUAUCUGAAGGUGGAGUGGGAGUUCCCUUUGGGAAGAUUUUUCAAAUUUCCCUGAUAUAAGAUCUAUUCGGGGUGUUGGUGAAACACACAGAUCCAGGCAUGUCCUUUGGGAUUACCGAUUCAGUGGGGUUAAACCAUGUCCCUGAAAUAUGUAUUUUUGACAGCCAUGUGUUCGGUGUCAUGUGGAAGUGAGGGAAACACUACCCUAUGAAGGGUGACUUUGAUGGUGGUCCCUGAUGCCUAAACAACCCCCAUCAUUGCCUGGAGGGUAUUUCCUACUUUCUUCUCACUUCUUCCACAUCUCUUUUCUGCAUUCAGUCCCAGUCCUUACCUCAAAUUCAUCACCUCCUUGUCAUUUCACUUCAGCCUACAAUUGCCAUUCUAUUUCAAGUCACUCCUGUUCCACACACCCUGAGCCACAGUGGUAAACAAUCUGCUAUUGCAUGCUCUACCAAGAUCUUCAGAGCUUUUUUUUACUUUUUCACAUUCUACUUUCUGCUUCAAAUCUUUCUUUCAAUAUUUUGCCUAUUGCACUUCCAGUUCUUCUUCAAGAGUUCACAUGUCAUUUCCUUCAGAAGUUGUCUUCAGCUCCCCCAGACACUGUUCAUUCUUCUCCUGUAGCACUUUGGAUUUAUCCUAUCUAGAAUGCAUGUCAUGUUGUAAUUACUUGUUAACUUGUCUCUCUCUCGGUAGGCAGCAUAGUAGAGACGGUGUCUUCACUCUAUUUGAAAUGUCCAGCAGUGAAUAUAGUAGGAAAUGUAGACACAUUUGCACAGACAGCUUCAGACUUUUAAUAAUUUUAUUAAAUUACAAUCAUCAAAAUGGAGGUAUGGGUUUGUUUAUGUAGCUCCAUGUAUUUAUUCAUUCAUUCAUUGAUAUACUUACUUAGACAAAUAUCUAAUUGAAAUCCUUUCAUAAAGACUAAGCAUAUAAGGUGGACAGAAACAUUUAUAAAAUAAUUAUAUAAUCAAUAAGAGAUUUGCUACUGUGAAAAGUAUCAAGAAUGACAGGCAUAUGGGGGCAGUGAAAGCAUAAAGGUGGU